This is a long non-coding RNA of Oncorhynchus nerka (sockeye salmon), 1557 nucleotides long. RefSeq lists it as uncharacterized. The record is from RefSeq and is a predicted model, not a curated record. NCBI's taxonomy places the organism in Eukaryota, Metazoa, Chordata, Actinopteri, Salmoniformes, Salmonidae. The transcript has 3 exons.
UGUCAUUAGACAGCCAACACUUCCUGUCCCUUCAAAAUACGAGUUCAACCUUCGAACCAAUAGCUGCCUAUACCGUGCCAAGUCAGCAGAUGGCGAUGUGCGUCUUUCGGGCGAUGCUGCUCAUGUGACGUAAAUUCUAGUGGACGGGACCAGAUGCUUCUUCAACAACAGCUAUCGUUGGUCAACUACGUCGGAGAGGGACCUGACUCUCGCCAUGACAGCAGGAAGAGUCCUUCAGGGGAACCAGACCCAGAGACACCCAAACCACCGAGACGACACCACUGUUCUCAGUGUGGAAAGAGUUUUGCCAAAUUAGGGAGCCUGAAAAAACACGAGAGAACACACACAGGAGAAAAGCCUCACCACUGCGCCCAAUGUGGAAAGAGUUUUAACUAUGUAGGGUACUUAUUAAUACAUCAAAGAAUACACUCUGGAGAGAAGCGUUACUGCUGCUCAAAAUGUGGGACAACUUUUACCUGGUUAGGGAGCCUGAAAACGCAUGAGAGGGCACACACAGGAGAAAAGCCUUUCCAAUGUUCCCACUGUGGAAAGCGUUUUACCCAGGUAGGGGCCCUAAAUAAGCACAAGAGGACACACACAGGAGAGAAACCCUUCCAAUGCUCUCUGUGUGGAAAGAGUUUUACUAAGUUAGGGGGCCUGUAUAGGCAUGACAGGGCACACACAGAAGGGGCUAAGACCUACCACUGCUCCCUGUGUGGAAAUAUAUUUAGCCAGUUACGGUAUCUGAAUAAGCAUGAAAGGAUACAUACACAGGAGGAGAAGACAUACCACUGCUCUCAUUGUGAAAAUAAAUUUUCCCAGUUAGAGGACAUGAAAUCACAUGAGAGAAUAGAAAGGCUGUGUUCAGACUUAUGUUUUUGACUUGAGAAUUUGUGUUUUUGUUUAUGCCUUAUGAAAUCAAAUUGUAUAUUUGAAAGCUUGCUUGAAAAUAGGCUUAUUUAAAGCUUGCUUGAAAAUAGGCUUAUUUUUGUAUUAUUGUUUUAGACAUGAUUAUAUAUAAAUUCAGAUGUAUUAAUUUUGUAUUAUGAUAUAUUGAAUACAAGAAUAAACCCCUUAGAUGUUCAUUUUAUGAUUUGGAUAUUUUAAAAUGUUGUAAAUUGUUAUUUAAGUAACAACUUGCACAGGGCUUGGCUAUAUUCUAAGCCAGGAGGCUGAUAGGCUCCUGUUCCUAUCUCCUAUUUCUGUUGGUUGAGGUAGCUUGUUGUACAAGUACACCCCCUGGACAGGAUGUUAGUUUAUACAAUUAUUAUAUAGAUUAAUGGUAUUUUGCAUUUAUUAAUUCUAACCUUAAACCCCUUGAAUUGAACAUAUGAUUUGGAUAUUGCUAAAUUAAUUUGAUUGGAUAAAUUGUUUGGAUGUUGAAAAAUGAAUUUGAUAAUGAUUUGGAUAUUUCAAAAUCUAAAUGGUUAAAUCAAUGAAUAGUGUGCAUUUCUUGUCAAUGUAUUUUAUUGAGUUAAUUUGUGUAUUAGUCGUCAAGCUAAAUGUGUAUGAAAAUGUGAUAAAUGCAAUAAAAUGCCAAUUAAUUACUUAAAAAUU